Molecule: ribosomal RNA, 433 nt
Filed under: uncultured bacterium
Lineage: Bacteria
Description: partial 16S ribosomal RNA
Rfam family: Bacterial small subunit ribosomal RNA
Source: RNAcentral
AACGAACGCUGGCGGCAUGCCUAACACAUGCAAGUCGAACGAGACCUUCGGGUCUAGUGGCGCACGGGUGCGUAACGCGUGGGAACCUGCCCUUAGGCUCGGGAUAACUCCCCGAAAGGGGUGCUAAUACCGGAUAAUGUCUUCGGACCAAAGAUUUAUCGCCUUUGGAUGGGCCCGCGUUGGAUUAGCUAGUUGGUAGGGUAAAAGCCUACCAAGGCGACGAUCCAUAGCUGGUCUGAGAGGAUGAUCAGCCACACUGGGACUGAGACACGGCCCAGACUCCUACGGGAAGCAGCAGUGGGGAAUAUUGGACAAUGGGCGAAAGCCUGAUCCAGCAAUGCCGCGUGAGUGAUGAAGGCCUUAGGGUUGUAAAGCUCUUUUACCCGGGAUGAUAAUGACAGUACCGGGAGAAUAAGCUCCGGCUAACUCCGUG